AUUGCUUCGAGGACUACCUGAGAGCACGUAUUUGUGAAGACAGCUGCUGAGCCUAUAAUAGCUGCUCACAAAUGUUUGCAGAACCUGAAGUCCCAGCUCACCGAGUCUUUCCCAACACUUCUCUUCCAUCGCAAUCCUGCUCAGGCAUUGAAGCGCUUAAGCAAUUCUAGAAACAGGACAUUUGGAGGAAGAUACUACAUUUUCUUUUCAACUUCUGAGAAAACAGAGUCUCCACGAGGUUCAACAGCUUCUCAAGCUCUCCUAGCUGGUGGUCUGGUCUGCAGAGUGAGAUUUCUCUCCCUGUGCACUGUGGCAAUGCAUUCACCACAAACCCCUCAACAGAGGCUGACAUUCUUAUAAGAAGUUAAAAACGAAAUGCAAUUCUAAUCCUUAGGAGAGUCAUCUUUUUGUCUGUGUUUUUCCUUGCUUGUCUCUAGGUCUCUGCCAAUUUAGAGUCAGAGACAAU
This 466-nucleotide long non-coding RNA is filed under the name Equus caballus (horse). RNAcentral describes it as "lncRNA (ENSECAG00000056330.1)". Lineage: Eukaryota; Metazoa; Chordata; Mammalia; Perissodactyla; Equidae. The record is from RNAcentral.